GGAGAAGGUCCUGGGUGGUGAUGGGACAGGGAGAAGGUCCUGGGUGGUUCUGGGACAGGCAUGGAGAAGGUCCUGGAUGGUGAUGGGACAGGGAGAAGGUUCUAGCUGAUGCUGGGUGGGACAGGGAGAAGGUCCUGGGUGGUUCUGGGAGAAUGUCCUGGGUUGGACAGGGAGAAGGUCUUGGUUGGGGCAGGGAGAAGGUCCUGGUUGGUGUUGGGACAAACAGGGGGAAGGUCCUGGCUGGUGACGAGUGGUCAGGGAGAAGGUCCUGGGUGGAGAAGGGAGGGAGAAGGUUCUGGAUUGGGCAGGGAGAAGGUCGUGGCUGGUCCUGGGUGGGGCAGGCAAGGGGAAGGUCCUGUUGGUGAUGGGUGGGACAGGGAGAAGGUCCUGGGUGAUGUUGGGACAAGGGGGAAGGUCCUGGUUGGUGCUGGGUGGGGCAGGGAAAAAGUCCCAGGUGAUGAUGGAAGGGCAGGGAGGGAGAAAGUCCUGGCUGGUGAUGAGUGGUCAGGGAGAAGGUCCUGGGUGGGGCAGGGAGGGAGAAGGUCUUGGAUUGGACAGGGAGAAGGUCGUGGGUGGUGA
RNAcentral lists this long non-coding RNA (579 nucleotides) under Zonotrichia albicollis (white-throated sparrow). Its description in RNAcentral is "lncRNA (ENSZALG00000004998.1)". Lineage: Eukaryota; Metazoa; Chordata; Aves; Passeriformes; Passerellidae. The record is from RNAcentral.